Molecule: long non-coding RNA, 606 nt
Filed under: Coturnix japonica (Japanese quail)
Lineage: Eukaryota; Metazoa; Chordata; Aves; Galliformes; Phasianidae
Description: lncRNA (ENSCJPG00005017500.1)
Source: RNAcentral
ACCAUGGAAUGGCUUGAGUAGGAAGGACCUCAAAGGUCAUCUAGUUCCAACACCUACUGCCUGGACAGGCACCAAGUCAGGCUGCCAGGGCCCCAUCCGACCUCACUUUGAACACCUCCAGGGAUGGGUCAAUCAUACCUUCACUGAGCAGCCUGUUCCAGCACCUUGCCACUCUCUCAGUGAAAAAUUUCCCCAGUGAAUCAUAAAGUCAUCUCAGUUUCAAAAUGAAGGGAGAAAAUCUUUGCAGUGCUCAUUAAGCUUCACAGUUGGACUUGUUUGUUGGGGAUUCCUUAAUUCAUUUUUUUCUUUCAUCUUGGAGAAAAUCUGGUGUGGGUGUAAGCUAUUUGGAGGAAGGAUCGCACCUCUGGAUCCAUACUGUAUAUAAGAAAUCUUCGGAAAACUGAGAAAAUCUAUCCUCCAACACUGGAAGACGAUAUUACUGUCAAAAUAAAUAAUCAGUAUUUGGGAUAUCUGGCUUCUUUUCUCCAAAUCCUCUGUGAAUUUAAGCAAGUCAUUCAGCAGCCCCUUGAAUGCCAAAGCUCCUGUUGCUGGAAACCUUACUAAGGAAGGAAUAAAAGAGCAUAUGUAAUUUGUAGGUGAGUUUGU